This 219-nucleotide unclassified non-coding RNA is filed under the name Hevea brasiliensis (rubber tree). Lineage: Eukaryota; Viridiplantae; Streptophyta; Magnoliopsida; Malpighiales; Euphorbiaceae. The record is from RNAcentral.
UAUAAAAGAGUCGAUACCUUCGAGAUUACACACUGCCUUUUUUGAUACUAGUUUUCUCUCUCAGGCAUUUUCACAGACACUUGGCGUACAGUUUUUCAUCUCUGUUGUUAACGCUCUCCGUUUUCCGACCAACAAAACCUCCGCCGGAACCCUAGUAACGAGACAGUAGAAGGCACACAAGAAUGAAGUACGUUUUGGUAACUGGCGGUGUAGUCAGUG